RNAcentral lists this ribosomal RNA (608 nucleotides) under Salmonella enterica subsp. enterica serovar Vinohrady. Its description in RNAcentral is "partial 23S ribosomal RNA". It matches the Rfam family "Bacterial large subunit ribosomal RNA", at positions 1 to 626 of the family's 2925-position model. The record is from RNAcentral. Lineage: Bacteria; Pseudomonadati; Pseudomonadota; Gammaproteobacteria; Enterobacterales; Enterobacteriaceae.
GGGUUGUGAGGUUAAGCGACUAAGCGUACACGGUGGAUGCCCUGGCAGUCAGAGGCGAUGAAGGGCGUGCUAAUCUGCGAUAAGCGCCGGUAAGGUGAUAUGAACCGUUAUAACCGGCGAUACCCGAAUGGGGAAACCCAGUGUGACUCGUCACACUAUCAUUAACUGAAUCCAUAGGUUAAUGAGGCGAACCGGGGGAACUGAAACAUCUAAGUACCCCGAGGAAAAGAAAUCAACCGAGAUUCCCCCAGUAGCGGCGAGCGAACGGGGAGGAGCCCAGAGCCUGAAUCAGCAUGUGUGUUAGUGGAAGCGUCUGGAAAGGCGCGCGAUACAGGGUGACAGCCCCGUACACAAAAGCGCAUGUGCUGUGAGCUCGAUGAGUAGGGCGGGACACGUGGUAUCCUGUCUGAAUAUGGGGGGACCAUCCUCCAAGGCUAAAUACUCCUGACUGACCGAUAGUGAACCAGUACCGUGAGGGAAAGGCGAAAAGAACCCCGGCGAGGGGAGUGAAAAAGAACCUGAAACCGUGUACGUACAAGCAGUGGGAGCCCCACCACUAAGCCAGUGGUGAACUCCACAUACGCAUCCUUUGCUGAGAAUACGGUUAA